RNAcentral lists this ribosomal RNA (1764 nucleotides) under Triticum aestivum (bread wheat). RNAcentral describes it as "partial small subunit ribosomal RNA". Lineage: Eukaryota; Viridiplantae; Streptophyta; Magnoliopsida; Poales; Poaceae. The record is from RNAcentral.
AUGGACGCUUUGCACGGCCAAACCUCGUGUGGAUCAUUGCUACAAAAACUGCAGUUAGUAUGGGAUGAAGUUGGUGAGAACGAUGAGGACCGCGACAAGGUUCUGUUUCAGCUGGAUCAGGAAUGCUUGGAUGUGUACAAGAGGAAAGUUGAUCAGGCACUCAAGUCAAGGGACCUUCUUCUCCAAGCACUGGACUACUCAAAGAUGGAGCUAGCCAGGCUCGCUUCUGCCCUUGGAGAGAAAUCCAUAGCAACAAGUCCUGAGAAAACAGCACGAACAAUCAAGCAACAGCUUGCUGCUUUAGCUCCAACACUUGAACAACUGGGCAAGCAGAAAAAGGAGAGAAUAAAUAAAUUUGCUGACAUAAUGUCAAGAAUCGAGCAAAUAAGGGGUGAGAUUGCUGGCAAUCUUGAGAUAGGCCAGCAGGUAGCAAUACCACAAAUCAAUGAGGAUGACUUGACAGAUGAGAAACUUCGGGACUUCCAGUCUCAGCUCCAAGAGCUCGAGAAAAAGAAGAGGGAGAGGCUGAAGAAGGUACUUGAGCAUGUGAGUACAGUACAAGAUCUCUGUUCUGUAUUGAAGAUGGAACAUUUUAGCAUAAUAACUGAAGUUCAUGAGAGUCUAGAUGACUCUGUUGGUAAAGACCACAAGAGCAUUAGCAAUGAUACCCUGUCAAAACUUGAUAGGACAAUAGCUACUCUUAAUGAGGACAAAACAUUGAGGCUAAAGAAGCUUCAAGAGCUUGCCACUCAGCUAAAUGAUCUCUGGGAUCUCAUGGACACACCAACGGAAGAAAGAAGCUUGUUUGAUCACGUUACCUGUAACAGAACAGCGAGUGCUGAGGAAGUCACCGCACCUGGAGCACUUGCUCUAGACAUAAUUAAUCAAGCUGAGAUUGAGGUUCAAAGAUUGGAUGAGCUCAAAUACAGCAAGAUGAAAGAAAUAGCUUUUAAGAAGCAAACCACACUGGAAGACAUUUAUGCGGGUGCUCACAUCGUAAUAGACACAGCAGCUGCCCAUGAUAAAAUAUUUGCGCUGAUCGAAUCAGGGAGCAUGGAACCUACAGAAUUGAUUGCUGAUAUGGAUAGUCAGAUAUUGAAAGCAAAGGAAGAAGCUCUAAGCAGGAAAGAAAUUUUAGAUAAAGUUGAGAGAUGGAUAUCUGCAUGCGAGGAAGAAAGCUGGCUUGAAGAUUAUAACCGAGAUGAUAACAGAUAUAAUUCAGGCCGAGGUGCCCACCUGAAUCUCAAACGCGCUGAAAAGGCUCGUAUUCAAGUUAACAAAAUUCCAGGCCUUGUUGAAACUCUGGUGGCCAAGACAACGGCUUGGGAAGAGAAUCACGGUCUAUCCUUCACAUAUGAUGGUGUUCCUCUUCUAGCUAUGUUGGAUGAGUAUGUGAUGCUUAGGCAAGAGAAGGAAGAAGAGAAGAGAAAAAUGCGGGAACAAAAGCGCUACACCGAGCAGUUACUGAACAUCGACCGUGAAGGGCCGUUUGGGACACGUGUCAGUCCCUAUAGAGUGGCCAGCACAAAGAAGGUACCUAGCCCAAAGCCCAAUGGCAGCACGACCAACGGGUCCCCUGGUAGAAGGCUCUCGAUGAGCACUCAGCAGAACGAGAGCAAGAGUUCCCGGUCUGCUGGUAAGAAAGCUGCUGCUGUGGCGGCACCGCCGAAAACACCAGCUUCCCCGAAUGAAGCUGCAACAGCGAAAGAAGACAACGCGUCCAUUCAGCACACGGACGCCGAUCCGGUCCCUUGUUCACCAUGA